This 82-nucleotide transfer RNA is filed under the name Perkinsus olseni. Its description in RNAcentral is "tRNA-Ser". It matches the Rfam family "tRNA". Rfam says of the family: Transfer RNA (tRNA) molecules are approximately 80 nucleotides in length. The record is from RNAcentral. Lineage: Eukaryota; Perkinsozoa; Perkinsida; Perkinsidae.
GACAGCGUGUCCGAGUGGUUGAGGAAGUGGACUGGAAAUCCAUUAGGCUCAGCCUGCACAGGGUCGAAUCCUGCCGCUAUCG